UCCCUGCGGUCGAGAAGAACACCCAGUGC
This 29-nucleotide non-coding RNA is filed under the name Rattus norvegicus (Norway rat). Lineage: Eukaryota; Metazoa; Chordata; Mammalia; Rodentia; Muridae. The record is from RNAcentral.